GAUGAACGCUGGCGGCGUGCUUAACACAUGCAAGUCGAACGGAAAGGCCCAAGCUUGCUUGGGUACUCGAGUGGCGAACGGGUGAGUAACACGUGGGUGAUCUGCCCUGCACUUCGGGAUAAGCCUGGGAAACUGGGUCUAAUACCGGAUAGGACCACAUUUUGGAUGGUGUGGUGGAAAGUUUUUCGGUGUGGGAUGAGCUCGCGGCCUAUCAGCUUGUUGGUGGGUAAUGGCCUACCAAGGCGUCGACGGGUAGCCGGCCUGAGAGGGUGUACGGCCACAUUGGGACUGAGAUACGGCCCAGACUCCUACGGGAGGCAGCAGUGGGGAAUAUUGCACAAUGGGCGCAAGCCUGAUGCAGCGACGCCGCGUGGGGGAUGACGGCCUUCGGGUUGUAAACUCCUUUCGCUAGGGACGAAGCGCAAGUGACGGUACCUGGAGAAGAAGCACCGGCUAACUACGUG
This 464-nucleotide ribosomal RNA is filed under the name uncultured bacterium. RNAcentral describes it as "partial 16S ribosomal RNA". It matches the Rfam family "Bacterial small subunit ribosomal RNA", at positions 28 to 507 of the family's 1533-position model. The record is from RNAcentral.